RNAcentral lists this ribosomal RNA (440 nucleotides) under uncultured bacterium. Its description in RNAcentral is "partial 16S ribosomal RNA". It matches the Rfam family "Bacterial small subunit ribosomal RNA", at positions 338 to 795 of the family's 1533-position model. The record is from RNAcentral.
CCUACGGGUGGCAGCAGUAGGGAAUAUUGCUCAAUGGGGGAAACCCUGAUGCAGCAACGCCGCGUGGAGGAUGAAGGUUUUAGGAUUGUAAACUCCUUUUGUUAGAGAAGAUUGUGACGGUAUCUAACGAAUAAGCACCGGCUAACUCCGUGCCAGCAGCCGCGGUAAUACGGAGGGUGCAAGCGUUACUCGGAAGCACUGGGCGUAAAGGGUGCGUAGGCGGGGUAAUAAGUCAGAUGUGAAAUCCUGUAGCUUAACUACAGAACUGCAUUUGAAACUGUGACUCUGGAGUGUGGGAGAGGUAGGUGGAAUUCUUGGUGUAGGGGUAAAAUGCGUAGAGAUCAAGAGGAAUACUGAUUGCGAAGGCGACCUGCUGGAACAUUACUGACGCUGAUGCACGAAAGCGUGGGGAGCAAACAGGAUUAGAUACCCCUGUAGUC